This 1452-nucleotide long non-coding RNA is filed under the name Phasianus colchicus (ring-necked pheasant). Its description in RNAcentral is "lncRNA (ENSPCLG00000003899.1)". Lineage: Eukaryota; Metazoa; Chordata; Aves; Galliformes; Phasianidae. The record is from RNAcentral.
AUUAGGUGUAUUUGUGAAGGUGAAUGCAAUAAAGGAAUACAUUUUUUUUCAGUGCAUCAGAGGAAGGGGCUCUAAAUACCCUCUCCUGAGGAAUUCAGCUGCAUAUCAGUGAAGGUAAAGUGGAUAUAAGAAAAAUGCCAUGUGUAUGGAGAGCAUUAGGAAAGGUCAUAUAUUUCAAGAAAGAAUAUUGUUUACAAGGAGUGUUAAUAGGUUUCAAGGGAAAUGUUAAUUUUUUUUUCCUGGCUGAAAUAGCUACUGCAAGUUUUUAAUGGUUAAUCAUUCAUUCUUGAAUUUUUAUAUUAAGCAUUUCAUAUUACUUUAUUGACUUAACUUUUAUGCUCUUCUUCAUUUUGACAGUAAAGAAUGACCAGGCAAUACUCUUUGAAAAUUGGAGACCAUUUGCAGCUGCUCUCUGCUGAGGAAAGUGAAUAAUAGGGUGCCCUCAAGGAAUUUCAAAGAGAGCAACAGGAUGAGAUGACAGCUUUUCUCAUGGCCCUGUUAAUAGUUUUUGCUAACAAGGAAAGGGGAAGGGAAUAAUUCUUUGCAAUAAUAUUGACUUCUUCUGUGAUCUUGGCAUCACCACUUGAGUGGAAGCAGGAAUGCUGGAGAAGCCAGAGCCAAACAUGAGUCUCUUCUGGCAAAUACAGGUCACAGUGAACUGUGAAUCUUUGAAGGAUGGAAUUUGGCUCACCAAACCUCUCAGUCCUGGAAUGAUGACUGCCCUAAGAAGAGAAAGAAAUGUGUACAACGACUGUCAAGCCUUGCUUUGCUCCGUAUUUGCCUGCUUUCUUCUGAUACAUGCAAGCAAAACUUCUGACACGGCUGAAGAGCUGACUGGAUCAAUCUGCGAUAGGAGAAAAGGCAUUCAUGAAGUGGGUCCGGGAGGAACAUCAGACCAGCUUUACCAUCCUAACACCUUGUCCUGCCAAAAACUCCAAAACCAUUAACUAUUGACACAUAUAACCAAGAAGAUUUAUGCAUGUGAACGCUGAAGGCAGUGGUGAAAUUCUGCGCUAGAGAACAGUUGCACAGCAGUGAUUUGUGAAACACUAUGAAGCUGCAUCCUGAGAACAGGAAAAAAAGAAUGCAUGAGCUCCGUUGCCCUGGUUUGUAGAACUGACAACUUGGGGAGCCUGUGCUGGCUGCAGCGGGUAUGUGUGCAUAGUGAGUAGAACAGCCCUUGUUUUAAUUUGUAUUGAUCAUGUACGCAGGGAUUUUCCAAGAUAAUCUAAGGGAAUACACAGCCCAAUUCAAUAAGAUAUGGUGAUUGUAUUUCCCUCAUGGUCCUUGUUAAUUUACUUUAAAAAUAUCUUUUGCUUUAGUAUAUAAAUGCUCCAGAAAAAUAUUUACAGUGAAUGGCUGCCUGAUUUCUUUUGAAAUCUACCCAAUUAACACAACACGACAAAAUAUUACAAAUUGGAAUCAUAUGCAUGAUUUUUCAGUCAUCAAUGA